This 63-nucleotide transfer RNA is filed under the name Sphenophorus sp. BYU-CO246. RNAcentral describes it as "tRNA-Glu". It matches the Rfam family "tRNA". From Rfam's summary of the family: Transfer RNA (tRNA) molecules are approximately 80 nucleotides in length. Their secondary structure includes four short double-helical elements and three loops (D, anti-codon, and T loops). Further hydrogen bonds mediate the characteristic L-shaped molecular structure. tRNAs have two regions of fundamental functional importance: the anti-codon, which is responsible for specific mRNA codon recognition, and the 3' end, to which the tRNAs corresponding amino acid is attached (by aminoacyl-tRNA synthetases). tRNAs cope with the degeneracy of the genetic code in two manners: having more than one tRNA (with a specific anti-codon) for a particular amino acid; and 'wobble' base-pairing, i.e. permitting non-standard base-pairing at the 3rd anti-codon position. The record is from RNAcentral. Lineage: Eukaryota; Metazoa; Arthropoda; Insecta; Coleoptera; Curculionidae.
AUUUAUAUAGUUUAAAAAAACAUUACAUUUUCACUGUAAAAUUAGAAAAUUUUCUUAUAAAUA